This 2797-nucleotide long non-coding RNA is filed under the name Homo sapiens (human). RNAcentral's name for it is "HSALNT0147359". The record is from RNAcentral. Lineage: Eukaryota; Metazoa; Chordata; Mammalia; Primates; Hominidae.
CAGCAAAAGCCGUGAAUGCAAGGAGGAUGUGACUAAGCCUGAAAGGAUCACAGUGCCAGCCACCCUGAGGUAGGAGUGAGUCAGCAGAAGCAGGCCGCUGAGUUUCCAACAGCAAUCAUCUUGCACUUGCACAACAGGGAAACAGGAGUGUCAUCAAAAGUAAAUUCCAGCCGAGACAUUCUCUCCUAUAUGAGAAGCAAAAGAUCUUCUGCCAGAAGGUGUUUCCUUUGUUGAUUCAUCAAUUAUGCACAGUGCUCUGUGUAAGGCACUGUGUAGAGUCCAGACCAUGCCCUCUGGAACCAGACCGUCCCCUGGACGAGAGAGAAAGCAUAUAUUUUACUAGCCACGAUACAAGGUAAACUUUGCCCAGAGCAUGGAGCUGGAGGAAGUGGAAGCAAGGCUGAAGUAGACAAAGUAGGUAUGGAAGGUCCUUGCAUAAAGAGGGGCUGGAGUUCUAAAUACAAGGAAGCCGAAUACAACGGUUGGAACAAACUGGAAAUCAUUAUGUUGGCAGACAGACAAGGCAGACAAAAAGCGGAGGACUCAAAAAAAGCAGACAAAAAGUGAAGGAUUGCCAAAUAGCUAAUCAAUGUAUGUGGUUAAAACUUCAUGUUAAAAACUAGAACAUUGGGCAUGGUGGCAUGCAUCUGUAGUUCCUGCUACUCUGGAGGUUGAGGCAGGGGGAUCUGUGGAGCCAAGAGUUGGAGACAGCCUUGGCAACAUAGCAAGACCCUGUCUAAAAAAAAAAAAAAAUUAAAUAAGGAACAAAGUCCACACCAGGCAGAUCAGGAAAAUGGAAGAUCAGAUCUGGGAUGGCUACAACAUAGAGAAUCCAACUAUAUAAAGCUAAGUUUGUCCUCAGCCAACAGUCUUUAAUUUUUUUUUUCUAAAUAACAGGAUCUAUGGACCUAAAUUGGGCUAGACUGAGACUUGAAGACAAUUAGGAGAGGAGUGAAGUAGAAAAUUAAAAUACGUAGUACUACCCAGCCAUUAUUUCCUUCCUAAGAAACAGUAUACAGUUUAAGUUCCUCAGCACUGUAGGACUUGUUUAAAUAAAAACAACAGUUAAUAUUCAUUGAAUCCCUCUAUGUACUAGGUACAGUUUUAAGCAUCUUGCAUGUAUUCACUCAUUUAAUCCUCAUAACAAUCCUAUGAAAUAGGUACUAUUGAUAUUGCUGUCCUUCAGAUGAGAAAACAAGUAAAGAGAGGUUAAGCAACUUGCUCAAGGCCAGGUGGCCCCAAGUGCAGAGUCAGGAUUUGAACUCAGGCAGUCUAAAUUCAGGGUCUGAAUUCUUAACCACUAUUUUAUACUGUCUGCUGCAGCAUAAGUAUGUCUAUGGAUUUUAUACAGAAAUCAACUCUCAGUUGUUGGAUUUUAUACAGAAAUCAACUCUCACUUGCAAUGAACUAUUAAGGCUCAAUCAUUGUUGAUGCUGUUAUUUAAUACAAUUAGGAAGGCAAUUUAGAUGUUCUCUGUACAGCAUUGCCUACUGUUUAUGUUUAAAAUGUACUCAAUCCAAUGUCUUAUGUAUAAAUGCUAACAUCUGAAAUCACAAAUAUCUGAUCUGUGAUGUGAUGUGGUUUCAAAGAAAACAAUGCCAACGUAAUUUUCAUGGUAGGAAGGCAACCAAAGAAACUCCAGGAAUCCGAGUGUGUCUGUGUGUGUGUGUGUGCAAUUGAUUAUUUUGUUCUGCAUGCAUUCUUUUUUUCUUUAUUCAGUGUUGGCUCAGAUUUUGUGGACUUGUUCAAACAUUUAUUUUGAAAUGUACCAGUGCACGUACACAGAAGAAGCUACACUUUUUAUCUUACAUCUCUAGAGUUUGUCUUCUUGCUUGAGGCUCCAUGGCACACCAUAGCUUAAGGGAAGGGAGAAACUUAAAGAAAGAAAACCCAGGUUGAAUAAGAAAGCCUUAUGAUUAUAAAACAAAGUGGAGUUAUUUUCAAAGUGAAUAAGAAAUAAAUGAAACAGAAUAACAUUUCCUAAUGGUUUUGUCAUGUUUUUAUGACACUCACAGUUUUAUUUACAUUUGUAGAUUGCUUUCUCUUUUUAAAAUCCAGAAUCAAGGAUGUCUCUGGUAAGGACUAACCUUUCAAACUGCACUGACAAUUGUUGGUGACUGCUUUAUAGUUACCCCUAAUUAAACACUGUUAUCUCUCUCCAUCAUGCACAUUUGAAAUCCUUUUUAAGAUAGCAGCAACUGAAAACACACAUAACACACACACACCACCCCACAUUAGAAGUGUGAACAACAGAAACAGAAACAUAGACAAGGUUGCAGAGAGCAAAUGUGAACUUUCCCUCCAGCAUCUAGAGAAUAAAGGCCAAGCCAGAAGGUUUUUAAGUUUAUAUGAACACAUUUGAUUUUGCAUUCUCAUCUGAGAAACUUUAGAUUACUGGUUUGGGAGAUGUCACUAUGUGUCCAGUUGGAAAUGUAGUCCAAUGCAUGGCAAAUAUAAAUUAAUGUAUGUGAAAAUAUAAACUAGUGACAGCAAAAAGAUGUACAAAACACAUGUGUUCUAGUAUAAUUCUAUCACAGGGAGAUUCUGCUUUUGUUUCAUUUUCUGUUUUUAUGCUUUCUAAUAAGUUGUUAAAAUUUUCAAAUAAAGUAAUAAAAUGCAUUCCUGGCUUAUUUGGUGAACUAUAGGAAGUAUAAUAACAUGAUAAGAAAGAACUAAAAUUUAAUUCAUUAGCUCAAAGUUAUUCUUAGAUACCUCUUAUAACCCUCCAGUAAGCAAAACAAAACAAAACAAAAAUACAAAAAGCAAUCCUCUGAACAUUAUGAAAAUUUUCCCUGGG